AGGUUGAACGCUGGCGGCAGGCCUAACACAUGCAAGUCGAGCGGUAGAGAGGUGCUUGCACCUCUUGAGAGCGGCGGACGGGUGAGUAAAGCCUAGGAAUCUGCCUGGUAGUGGGGGAUAACGCUCGGAAACGGACGCUAAUACCGCAUACGUCCUACGGGAGAAAGCAGGGGACCUUCGGGCCUUGCGCUAUCAGAUGAGCCUAGGUCGGAUUAGCUAGUUGGUGAGGUAAUGGCUCACCAAGGCGACGAUCCGUAACUGGUCUGAGAGGAUGAUCAGUCACACUGGAACUGAGACACGGUCCAGACUCCUACGGGAGCAGCAGUGGGGAAUAGUAGGACAAGUGGGACGAAAGCCUGAUCCAGCCAUGCCGCGUGUGAGAAGAAGUCUUCGGAUUUAGUAAAGCUAAGUUUAAGUGGAGGAAGGCAAUUAACCUAAGUACGUUAGUUGUUUAGACGUUACGACAGAAUAGACACCGG
RNAcentral lists this ribosomal RNA (479 nucleotides) under uncultured soil bacterium. RNAcentral describes it as "bacterial SSU rRNA". It matches the Rfam family "Bacterial small subunit ribosomal RNA", at positions 26 to 496 of the family's 1533-position model. The record is from RNAcentral.